UAGACGGAAGUGACGUCAUCGUGGAAGGACCCGGAAAGUGACAUCAUCAUGUGAGAGCCAGAAGUGACGUCAUCUCGGGGGAGCCGGAAAUAUGGAUGGGUGGCUAGAUGACACAUGAAUGUUUGUAACUAAAGGAUCCUCAGACUAAUGAGAAACAAGCUUCUCUGGUGUGAAGAAACCAUAAUAUAACUGUUUGGCCUCAAUUCUAAAUGUCCCGUCUGGAAGAAACUGGGCACCGCUCAUCACCUCCUCAAUAGGUGAAGCAUGGUGGUGGCAGCGUCAUGUUCUGGGGUUGUUUUUCAGCAGCUGGGACUGGGGGACCACACAGGGUUGAGAGAAGACUGAAUAGAGCAAAGUUGAGAGAUAUCCUUAGUGAAGCCCUGCUCUGAGUGCUCUGGACCUGCCACUGGGCCAAAGGCUCCCCUUCCAACAGGACAAUGAUUCACGGUGAAGAGGAUUAGUAAACAGAAAAAUGAUCAUCAAUGAAGAGGACAAAAGUGACUUCAGAUUUAGUCAGCACUUCAAGCCAUGCUGGUCUUCCUGUCAUCCCACUGUGGGAAACAGCCCGGACACAGACAGGCGUACACCGAUAGUUCACCCAACACACGUUUAUUAUAUGUAGCACCCACCUAGUUGGGUAUUGGUAGGCCUAAUAGUAAACGUGUUUAUUUGAUGCUAAGAGCGCGCGCGGCUUUCGGCGCCGCGGGAGAGCGGGAAGGGAACUCGCGCGCCAAGAGGUUGACACCUCACCUGUUGAAGAGAAAAAAACGCGGCUGCACAGUCGCGCGCUUUCCCUUUUUUUUAAGCGAAUCAGAGCUCGGUGAUAAGGACUUUUUGGAGGACCGCCACAGCCGCAUUCCACAGAGGGCACAACUGGCAUGCAAUACGUCUGACAUGAUUUAUCCCAGAAGGAGAAAAUGCAAAUAAGCAGGGUCAGAAAUAUCACAGGAGGCAACAACUAAUCAGGGAACGCAAAUAAAUCCCGCAUCAAGACGAAGCUGAUGGCGUCAUCCCAGACGGAGCUGUGAGAUUCCUGUGUUUAACCAAGGAGGAAAAUGAGAAGUGUGGGGAAACGUUCUGGAAGGACACCGUGAGUACACGUGAAGUUAUGUACUGCAUAUGAGCUCCAACUAAGCGCGCCAACGAUUUUUUUUAUAUAUAUAUACCUAUAUAUUUAUUGUUGAUUUCUAUGUGUGAACCUUACUUGUGCUGAAACUCAAAUUUAAGUUGAACUGUGAUAAUAUCCCAUAAGCGGUGUGUUUAAAUAAAUGUGUUUUAUGUU
Long non-coding RNA from Polypterus senegalus (gray bichir), 1282 nucleotides. RefSeq lists it as uncharacterized. Lineage: Eukaryota; Metazoa; Chordata; Cladistia; Polypteriformes; Polypteridae. The record is from RefSeq and is a predicted model, not a curated record. The transcript is spliced from 2 exons.